GCCUUAUACAGAUAUAGUCACGCGAGACAGUGGCGCAUCUCCCUUUAAGGCAGUGUUCCAUUAGAAGCAUAAGCAACAACCCUGGUUGCGUGGCUCUUUAGUCGAAACCAGGUGAGCUUAUGUGGAACAGGUUAUCCGUAAGACCUUGGGUUGAAAAACCCUAAAAUUGACCUGGGAACAGCGAGUAUAGUUUCGCGAUUUUCAUUAUUUCUGGUUACGGUUGU
This 224-nucleotide non-coding RNA is filed under the name unclassified sequences. The record is from Rfam.